Molecule: ribosomal RNA, 253 nt
Filed under: uncultured bacterium
Lineage: Bacteria
Description: partial 16S ribosomal RNA
Rfam family: Bacterial small subunit ribosomal RNA
Source: RNAcentral
UACGUAGGGUGCAAGCGUUAAUCGGAAUUAUUGGGCGUAAAGCGUGCGCAGGCGGUUUUAUAAGACAGAUGUGAAAUCCCCGGGCUUAACCUGGGAACUGCGUUUGUGACUGUAAGACUGGAGUGUGGCAGAGGGGGGUGGAAUUCCACGUGUAGCAGUGAAAUGCGUAGAUAUGUGGAGGAACAUCGAUGGCGAAGGCAGCCCCCUGGGUUAACACUGACGCUCAUGCACGAAAGCGUGGGGAGCAAACAGG